Molecule: long non-coding RNA, 1512 nt
Organism: Cynoglossus semilaevis (tongue sole)
Lineage: Eukaryota; Metazoa; Chordata; Actinopteri; Pleuronectiformes; Cynoglossidae
Exons: 3
Source: RefSeq, a predicted model, not a curated record
CUCUGUUAUCUACUAACAACCUGUUUGUAUUUCUGCAGGAAGAUCAUACCCGUGACGAAUAAACAACAUAUGUUUCAUUUCUGAGAAACAACUUCAGCGACAACACCCUUCAGACCUGUUUGCUGUGACUGUGCUGAACAUUUUCUCUAACGAGUCGCAGACAUGCUGAAUCGAUCCCAGCAUGGAUGAGGCCUCUGGACCAAUCCACCGCUCCGUCACAGGGUCACAGAGUCUCAUCGACCUAAUCCUCAAUCUGCACUUUUAAUUACUAAGGCGGCCCGGUAGGAGAGCAACACGACAGCGAGGAUGUGGAGCCGCAGGUUUUUGGAACGCUCUCUUUACACUACGCUGGAAACCCGGAGCUGCGCUCUCUCCGAGGCUGCUUCCCCAGCUGACCUCGGUCGUCACACCUGUUUCUAAUAGCUGCCCUGCCACAGGCUAUUAGCAUCUGUCCACCCCCAGAAAGGACCUUUCCUCUGCAGCUCCAAACCCAACCACACAACGGCCGUCCACUCGCACUGAUUAAUCACAUCAAGAUGACGCGCUGCGGCUCGUGGCGCUGCGUAGGUGCACGUCCCCGCCUGCAAGUCUGUGCGUGCGCACGCACAGUGCCACAUGUUAGUGGGUUCCUGCACGUGUGUCAUCCUAAUUCUUUAUUCUGUCCAUGUCGAGAUAUUUGACCGAGAUAUUUCAUUAGACAUUUGCUGCUCUCGGAUAUUAGGUUAGAUAUUCAUUUGAUACCUGCCGCCCCACAGAGCUGCUGCGGCCAGACUCGCUGGAGCGUUUCCAAGCUCUUUGAAGGGCCCCCGCUUGUCUCAGGGUCGCCGCGAGGUCAGUGGAUGAGCCUGAUUGGUCAACCCCCUGUGUACCGUAAAUUGGAAACGGUGGCCACUGUAAUCAUGCCGGAGCAGGGAAACGCUGUUGCUCGCAAAGUCAGACAGUGAGUUGUUUGAAGUUGAUUUUUACCUUUAAUGUAACAAUAAUGUGAAGUGAAAAGUGUAUUUUCUAGGAGGGCAGAAGUCUGAGCGGGGCCAUCGGACACUUCUGCAGCUACACUUCAGCCUGAUGGGAGCUGACUCUACAGUACGCCGGGCUGCAGAGUCCGGUGUCAGCCUAUAACGUGGAAUCAGAUCUGCACAAUUAACCCCAACACUUGAGACCGCCUGAUUGGAUGCAGAAAAUGAAAGCUCUCUCUUGAAAAAAAACUACAGCCACAUACGUACAGCUGCCGUUUUUACUUUUCUACAGUUUGAGCAAAGAAUCUGAGGUGACAGGGCAUGUGUCGCUGCACUGCUAGAUAAUCAGUAACUGUACAGGCGGACUCGGUUCAGAUGAACUGUAAAUUUGGGAACGCUCCCACAGAGACGGCAGUAAAAUAUAUUCAGGUUAUGAUCAGGUCACUUCUUUUAACUGAUUUUUAAUUGAGAAAACGAGAAAAAAAAAUCACUAUACCACCAUUUAAAAAUCACUCCAGUAAGUUAAGAGUAUUCUUAUAAAAUGAAAAGGUGAAGU